This 537-nucleotide long non-coding RNA is filed under the name Homo sapiens (human). RNAcentral describes it as "HSALNT0321692". Lineage: Eukaryota; Metazoa; Chordata; Mammalia; Primates; Hominidae. The record is from RNAcentral.
GGUGGUUUGCUGCACCCAUCAACCCAUCAUCUACAUUAGCAAUUUUUAGGACUUUUCCUCCUGUUGGAAAUUUGAUGAGCAUGAAGAAAAAGCUUAAUGGAAGAAACAAAUCCGAGGAGAGAGUUUAUGGAAAAUGGAGAAAGGACAAUGAGAACCGACAAAGAUUGAAUAAGAGAGAGUAAAGAACAAGAUGGUAUGCAUCCUGGGGAAGUAAAAUCAAGCUCUGCUUCUUCACGUUGUUCAAACUAGCAGGGAAACAGAGGGAUGGAAAACAUAAAGCAAGACAAAAGCACACUGUUAAAUAUAAACAAAAAAAGAAAGGAAAGGACAUGUGGCACGUAAGUUGACCUCUAAGUUGCCUCUAGAAUAUUGCGCUCAUGGAAAACAAGUGAGGAGGUAAACUAACACAAUGGAAGUAGUUAUGAGCGAAUAUAAUUUGGAGCCAUAAAGGGCCUUGGCUGGUCCCAAUCAUCACAACUGUUUUCCUAGAAUGGCGUCAGUAGUUCUAACCAAGUCAUUUUGAACCAAAUUCUUAAG